RNAcentral lists this long non-coding RNA (428 nucleotides) under Marmota monax (woodchuck). Lineage: Eukaryota; Metazoa; Chordata; Mammalia; Rodentia; Sciuridae. The record is from RNAcentral.
CUUACCUCUGAAUGAGUGCUCAUAUGCUUUGUCCUAAGAAAGAAGAAGACCUAGUAUUUAUAUUCUGGGCUCCUGAAAGUGCACCCUUAAAAAGCAAGAUGAUUUAUGCUAGCUCUAAAGAUGUCAUUAAAAAGAAAUUUACAGGUAUUAUACUCUAGUGGCAAGUAAAUGGCUUGGAUGAUAUUAAGGACCCGUCAACACUGGGAGAGAAACUGGGAGGCAAUGUAGUGGUUUCACUUGAAGGAAAAUCGUUAUAAAAUGACCAUCAAGUGCCAUCUAGAUCUUAAGGAGGUUUCAUUUUUCCAGCUCAGUCCACCAGAAUAGCAUUAGGUGUUUUUUGUUUUUGUUUUUUCCCUUUCCACUGGGCCCUUCCAACACAGUGAAUAAAGGUGAUAUCAUUCAUUUAAGCAGCCUGUAAGUGACUGCUA